UAGGGAAUCUUCCACAAUGGGCGAAGCCUGAUGGAGCAACGCCGCGUGUGUGAUGAAGGCUUUAGGGUCGUAAAGCACUGUUGUAUGGGAAGAAAUGCUAGAAUAGGGAAUGAUUCUAGUUCGACGGUACCAUACCAGAAAGGGACGGCUAAAUACGUGCCAG
This 163-nucleotide ribosomal RNA is filed under the name uncultured bacterium. RNAcentral's name for it is "partial 16S rRNA". It matches the Rfam family "Bacterial small subunit ribosomal RNA", at positions 355 to 511 of the family's 1533-position model. The record is from RNAcentral.